GAACGCUGGCGGCAUGCUUUACACAUGCAAGUCGAACGGUAACGCGGGGGCAACCCUGGCGACGAGUGGCGAACGGGUGAGUAAUACAUCGGAACAUGUCCUGGAGUGGGGGAUAGCUCGGCGAAAGCCGGAUUAAUACCGCAUACGCUCUGAGGAGGAAAGCGGGGGAUCCGCAAGGACCUCGCGCUGCAGGAGUGGCCGAUGUCGGAUUAGCUAGUUGGUGAGGUAAAGGCUCACCAAGGCGACGAUCCGUAGCUGGUCUGAGAGGAUGAUCAGCCACACUGGGACUGAGACACGGCCCAGACUCCUACGGGAGGCAGCAGUGGGGAAUUUUGGACAAUGGGGGCAACCCUGAUCUAGCCAUGCCGCGUGAGUGAAGAAGGCCUUCGGGUUGUAAAGCUCUUUUGGCAGGGACGAUAAUGACUGUACCUGCAGAAUAAGCCCCGGCCAACUUCGUGCCAGCAGCCGCGGUAAUACGAAGGGGGCUAGCGUUGCUCGGAAUCACUGGGCGUAAAGCGCACGUAGGCGGGUCGUUAAGUCGGGGGUGAAAUCCUGGAGCUCAACUCCAGAACUGCCUUCGAUACUGGCGAUCUUUGAGUCCGGGAGAGGUGGGUGGAACUGCGAGUGUAGAGGUGAAAUUCGUAGAUAUUCGCAAGAACACCAGUGGCGAAGGCGGCUCACUGGCCCGGUACUGACGCUGAGGUGCGAAAGCGUGGGGA
This 719-nucleotide ribosomal RNA is filed under the name uncultured soil bacterium. RNAcentral describes it as "bacterial SSU rRNA". It matches the Rfam family "Bacterial small subunit ribosomal RNA", at positions 31 to 767 of the family's 1533-position model. The record is from RNAcentral.